GUGUCAGCAGCCGCGGUAACACGUAGGAGACGAGCGUUAUCCGGAUUUACUGGGUGUAAAGCGCGUGCAGGCGGUCUGGUAAGUUGGAUGUGAAAGCUCCUGGCUUAACUGGGAGAGGUCGUUCAAAACUGCCGGGCUAGAGUGCAACAGAGGGGAGUGGAAUUCCGAGUGUAGCGGUAAAAUGCAUAGAUAUUCGGAAGAACACCAGUGGCGAAGGCGGCUCUCUGGGUUGCAACUGACGCUCAGACGCGAAAGCUAGGGUAGCGAACGGGAUUAGAGACCCCGGUAGUCCUAGCCGUAAACGAUGUGGACUUGGCGUGGGUGGGUUGAAAUCCAUCUGUGCCGAAGCAAACGCGAUAAGUCCACCACCUGGGGACUACGGCCGCAAGGUUAAA
RNAcentral lists this ribosomal RNA (395 nucleotides) under uncultured bacterium. RNAcentral describes it as "bacterial SSU rRNA". It matches the Rfam family "Bacterial small subunit ribosomal RNA", at positions 505 to 898 of the family's 1533-position model. The record is from RNAcentral.